Molecule: long non-coding RNA, 1904 nt
Organism: Chroicocephalus ridibundus (black-headed gull)
Lineage: Eukaryota; Metazoa; Chordata; Aves; Charadriiformes; Laridae
Exons: 3
Source: RefSeq, a predicted model, not a curated record
UCACAAUGAUAUCAGCCAGCUCCUUGAUGUUAUAAUUUACAUAAUUCAAAUCUAGAGGAAGCAGCAUGUUCCAUGAAUUGCAGGAUUUGCAGGGAGGAGGAAAACCGACCCUUAAUUGUACAUGACAGUGAUCUUUAACCUGUGAAAUUAAGAGAUGGCAGAUGGAGCAACUGAGUCUAGAUUCACAUUUUAAUGUGGGAGAGGAAUAAGUCAAGUCAAGACUCAUGAAUGAAUAUGGAAAAAUUGGUCCAACUGCAGAAGCAAUUGUCUGCUAGGAGGAAGACAUGGAAAAGAUGUCUGAAACUACAACCCAGUUAAAUGUGGUUAAUACAAAUAUCAGUAAAAAUGGAAUGGAAUUCUUCUGGUCUUUAAAGACUUAGAGGAGAGAUGCAACUAGACAGUGAAGACCAGUAGAUCACCCUAUAGGGAGGCUUAGGGUUGGUCUGCCACUGGGAAACAUUCUUGGAAGAGGAUCGUACACCGAAUAGUUUGAGUUCUGGACUGGGAUCAAGGUUAAUUUGAUUGCUAAGAGCUUAAAUUUAAAAGCAGGGAACAAAGCUGGGAAAGGCUCGUUAAAUCUGCAUGAUGAUAAUGUAGUGAGAAAGAAAUACCAGAGGGUCAGAGGAAUGAAAGUGCCAACACUGAUAAGAGCACUUGCUGGCUAAUACAGAGUGGGAAAGUACUGGCUAAAAAUUAGCCUCUUGUGGUGACAAGUAUGAAGCUAUUACAUUGGCACAACAAAACAGAGGAUCCAGAACAACUGAGUCAGAAUGUGUAGUACAGAGACCUGCGGAGGAUUAGCGGUUGUGGCUGGAACAUCAGGUUGGAAGUAUAUGCAUCAUUUAGGAAAGACAGAAGAGAAAAAUAAAGAUGGUCAAAUAGCGUUAUGCAUUAAUUACUUCAGAGAAAGAAAAGGGACGGUAUGUAUAAGACGGAUCAUGUUUGAGUUAAAAUCAUUUAGAGAAAGGUAGAAAAAAUACUGUACUGAAGUAUCAGAGAGCCUGCAGUAUUCAAGAGAGCCUGGGGACUGGAUUUAGACAGGGAUGUAGAUUGCUGUCCUGUCAUUUGGAAAAGAAAAGAAGUAGCCUUAGUAACUCUGUAAGUAUGGAAAAGUUUAAGUCCUCAGAUUGGAAGACCUACCUAUUUAUAGAUGUGCUAAGAGAUCACUACGCUGCAGUAACAAGAUGUGCAAGAGUGCUACAAAAACUUUCUCUCGUGUGGCUAGGAAGAAAUACACAGAAACCUUAAACAGUUUUUAACUAAAAGUAAGUAAUUUCCAUUAUUUUUAACUGAUUUGGAAUGAAAAGAAAUUCUGAAAUGACAGAAUUCUCAUUGAAUAGAAACACUGGUUUUAGCCAUCCCAAUUUCUUCUAACUAUUUGGGUUAGUUGCAUCACGUUGUUUCUUCAAAUUAAGCUUGAAGGCAGAAUAAAUAACUUCUCUCAUAAUUAUCACAACUUAAUUUAAAAACAAACUUUGAACAUUCUGAUAUGCAGUAGAAAAAAAAAAGGAAAUUACAACAUACAUACUAAAUGUAAUUAGACCGGAUUUUCAAGGGGCGGGUGGAAGACUAAAUUGUCAAAGAGUUAGAAUUCAGCAAAUACACUAAAUGACUGCAAAAGCAAUAUUAUGCAUUUUGUACCUUUCGUCCUUUACAUUAUUUCCACAGAAUCUGACAUGCCUGUUUUUAUUAACCCACUAGCAAUUACCAGGUCUUUUUAUUUUAUAUUUUGGUCUCUCUUACAUUGGGUGCAGAGAUUUGUAAACAUUUACAAACUGCAUUCAGUAUGUUUGCUUAGCUAUAAUCCCUAUGAAAUUCAAAUCUAGAGGAAGCGGCAUGUUCCGUGAAUUGCUGGAUUGGUAGGGAGGCAGAAAAUUGAUCCUUAAUUGUACGUGGGAGUGAUC